GAUGAACGCUGUCUACAGGCUUAACACAUGCAAGUCGAGGGGAAACGACGGGGCAGCUUGCUUCCCCGGGCGUCGACCGGCGCACGGGUGAGUAACGCGUACCCAACCUGCCUCUGACUGAGGGAUAACCCGCCGAAAGUCGGCCUAAUACCGCAUGGCAUCGUCUGCGGGCGUCCAACGCCGAUUAAAGAUUUCAUCGGUCAGGGACGGGGAGGCGUGUGAUUAGCUUGUGGGCGGGUUAACGGCCCACCAGGGCUACGAUCAGUAGGGGUUCUGAGGUGAGGGGCCCCGACAGUGGGACUGGGACACGGGCCAAACUGCUACGGGAGGAAGCAGUGAGGAAUAUUGGUGAGUGGGCGGGAGCAAGAUCCAGCCAAGCAGCGUGCAGGAUGGCGGCCACAUGGGUUGUAGACUGCUGUUAUGCGGGGAUAAAGUGAGGGACGUGUCCUACAUUGCAGGUACCGCAUGAAUAAAGACCGGCUAAUUCCGUG
Molecule: ribosomal RNA, 491 nt
Filed under: uncultured bacterium
Lineage: Bacteria
Description: partial 16S ribosomal RNA
Rfam family: Bacterial small subunit ribosomal RNA
Source: RNAcentral